RNAcentral lists this ribosomal RNA (511 nucleotides) under uncultured bacterium. RNAcentral's name for it is "bacterial SSU rRNA". It matches the Rfam family "Bacterial small subunit ribosomal RNA", at positions 15 to 518 of the family's 1533-position model. The record is from RNAcentral.
GAUUAUGGCUCAGGAUGAACGCUAGCGACAGGCUUAACACAUGCAAGUCGAGGGGCAGCACGGGAGUAGCAAUACAACUGGUGGCGACCGGCGCACGGGUGAGUAACGCGUAUGCAACCUACCUAUCAGAGGGGAAUAACCCGGCGAAAGUCGGACUAAUACCGCAUAAAACAGGGGCACCGCAUGGUGAUAUUUGUUAAAGAGAUUCGCUGAUAGAUGGGCAUGCGUUCCAUUAGGUAGUUGGUGAGGUAACGGCUCACCAAGCCGACGAUGGAUAGGGAACUGAGAGGUUGGUCCCCCACACUGGUACUGAGACACGGACCAGACUCCUACGGGAGGCAGCAGUGAGGAAUAUUGGUCAAUGGGCGGGAGCCUGAACCAGCCAAGUCGCGUGAAGGAAGAAGGAUCUAUGGUUCGUAAACUUCUUUUGCAGGGGAAUAAAGUGCAGGACGUGUCCUGUUUUGUAUGUACCCUGAGAAUAAGGAUCGGCUAACUCCGUGCCAGCCGCCGC